This is a long non-coding RNA of Sycon ciliatum, 781 nucleotides long. RefSeq lists it as uncharacterized. The record is from RefSeq and is a predicted model, not a curated record. The transcript is spliced from 2 exons. NCBI's taxonomy places the organism in Eukaryota, Metazoa, Porifera, Calcarea, Leucosolenida, Sycettidae.
CAGUGGCCGUUGCGAAGAAAAUAGAGCUUACUCUGUCUGCUUCAGAUACGUUGGUUGUGACUCGAGUGCAUGGUCACUGCUGCCAGCGAAUACCCACUGUAUUGCGGUCGCUUCGCCUUAUUGUGGAUCUGAGUCAUUGCGACGCUUGAUAGCCGCUUUAGUCCUGCAGUUUUCCAACUAAGGAUUUCCGAGUGAUUGACUGUGCUCAAGGUUAUUGCAGUCAUUAUCCUCGUAAUGGACAAAGUAGAAGCCACAAUGGAGGGGCCGUCGUUGGAGUAGCCGCCGUUUACGCCUGUACCUCUAUGACCGAGCCGACUGCCAAGAAAAGAGCUUAGGCUUGGACUGGAUGACUGCAAAGACAAAGGCUUAGCCCUCGGCCUCGUGUGCGAUGACGAAGAACACCAGUAACGUCCCAGCGCUUUCCGCUACAUGGUAAAUGUAUUUCUACCUUUUCUCUCCUAAUGUGCAUCACUUCUUCCAUGCCGUGGAGCUCAGGUGUACACGCUGCUUUCAUACAUGUACAUGUGCAUAUUGAUUAUGAUGUACGUCAGCAUGACCCAGGAAAGAUUAUGUCCACGUAUCCUCCAGUCUAGACCUGGUCAUAAAAGAUGAUCAUGUACAUGUAUUGUGAAGUGACGCCAGUAUUGCGAGUUGCAUAGUGAAUUCAUGUUCGUAAUACCUUUUCUUCUCCUAUUAUAAUUCUUGGCAAUUCCAUUUAUUUGGCCUAUCCGCUGCCUUCGCAUCACUCGCGCUUGCAAAAAAAAUGUUUCGAUAUCCUUGU